Molecule: long non-coding RNA, 717 nt
Organism: Mus musculus (house mouse)
Lineage: Eukaryota; Metazoa; Chordata; Mammalia; Rodentia; Muridae
Product: predicted gene, 40084
Exons: 3
Source: RefSeq, a predicted model, not a curated record
AUGCAGCUCCAGAGCUGCCAUCUGCUGACCGAGGCUAACUGAACAGGGCUCUUGUCAGAAUUGGGGUGAGGGACCCCAAGGAGCAGGCAAGUUCGAUGGGGCGAGCGCACUACGGAGCCUCUGCUGCUGGAAGCUAAGAUACCCAGAACAGGUGCACAGCUUCCCUCAAGCAUCAGGCCAGCAAGCAGUUCUAGCCUUCACCUACCAGCUGCCAGGUACAGAGGAGCCUAGCAUAACUGUCUUCUGAGAGGCUCCACCCAGCAGCCAAUGGAACAAAUGCAGAGAAAGACUCACAGCCAAACUUUAGAUGGAGCUCAGGUGUCUCACGGAAGAGUUGAGGAAAAAAUUGAGGAACCCAAAGAGGACAGGUACUCCACAGGAAGACCAACAGAGUCAACUCACCUAGACCCUCAGGGGCUCCUAGAGAUUGAAUCACCAACCAAAGGGUGGGCAUUGGUUGGACCUAGGCCGCUGCCCAUAUGUAGAAGAUGAGCAACAUGAUCUUCAUGCUGGUUCCCCAACAAGCCCCGCCCCGAAUCCAUUGCCUGCCUGCCUGCCUGCCUGUGGACCCCACUCCCCUAAAGGGACUGCUUUGUAUGACCUCAGAGGAUGCACCUAUUCCUGCAUCAUUCCGGUGUGCCGGAGGGAGUUGGUACCUAGGAGGGGCUCCCCACUCUCAACGGAGAAGGUGAGGGUGGAAUGGGGGAGGGUCUGUGU